RNAcentral lists this ribosomal RNA (936 nucleotides) under uncultured bacterium. RNAcentral describes it as "bacterial SSU rRNA". It matches the Rfam family "Bacterial small subunit ribosomal RNA", at positions 8 to 957 of the family's 1533-position model. The record is from RNAcentral.
AGAGUUUGAUCCUGGCUCAGGACGAACGCUGGCGGCGUGCUUAACACAUGCAAGUCGAACGGUAAGGCCCCUCCGGGGGUACACGAGUGGCGAACGGGUGAGUAACACGUGAGUAACCUGCCCUUGACUCUGGGAUAACAGCUGGAAACAGCUGCUAAUACCGGAUACGAACCUUCUUGGCAUCUUGAAGGUUGGAAAGCUCCGGCGGUCAUGGAUGGACUCGCGGCCUAUCAGCUUGUUGGUGAGGUAACGGCUCACCAAGGCGACGACGGGUAGCCGGCCUGAGAGGGCGACCGGCCACAUUGGGACUGAGAUACGGCCCAAACUCCUACGGGAGGCAGCAGUGGGGAAUAUUGCACAAUGGACGAAAGUCUGAUGCAGCAACGCCGCGUGCGGGAUGACGGCCUUCGGGUUGUAAACCGCUUUCAUCAGGGACGAAGCUAACGUGACGGUACCUGAAGAAGAAGCACCGGCUAACUACGUGCCAGCAGCCGCGGUGAUACGUAGGGUGCGAGCGUUGUCCGGAAUUAUUGGGCGUAAAGAGCUUGUAGGCGGUUUGUCACGUCGGGAGUGAAAACUCGGGGCUUAACUCCGAGCCUGCUUCCGAUACGGGCUGACUUGAGGAAGGUAGGGGAGAAUGGAAUUCCUGGUGAAGCGGUGGAAUGCGUAGAUAUCAGGAGGAACACCAGUGGCGAAGGCGGUUCUCUGGACCUUUCCUGACGCUGAGAAGCGAAAGCGUGGGGAGCAAACAGGCUUAGAUACCCUGGUAGUCCACGCCGUAAACGGUGGGUACUAGGUGUGGGUCACAUUCCACGUGAUCCGUGCCGCAGCUAACGCAUUAAGUACCCCGCCUGGGGAGUACGGCCGCAAGGCUAAAACUCAAAGGAAUUGACGGGGCCCCGCACAAGCGGCGGAGCAUGCGGAUUAAUUCGAUGC